Molecule: ribosomal RNA, 460 nt
Filed under: uncultured bacterium
Lineage: Bacteria
Description: partial 16S ribosomal RNA
Rfam family: Bacterial small subunit ribosomal RNA
Source: RNAcentral
CCUACGGGUGACAGCAGUGAGGACUAUUGGUCAAUGGGCGGGAGCCUGAACCAGCCAAGUCGCGUGAGGGAAGACGGUCCUAUGGAUUGUAAACCUCUUUUAUAAAGGAAUAAAGUGAGCCACGUGUGCCUUUUUGUAUGUACUUUAUGAAUAAUGAUCGGCUAACUCCGUGCCAGCAGACGCGGUAAUACGGAGGAUCCGAGCGUUAUCCGGAUUUAUUGGGUUUAAAGGGAGCGUAGAUGGGUUGUUAAGUCAGUUGUGAAAGUGUGCGGCUCAACCGUAAAAUUGCAAUUGAUACUGGCAGUCUUGAGUACAGUUGGGGUGGGCGGAAUGCGUGGUGUAGCGGUGAAAUGCUUAGAUAUCACGAAGAACUCCGAUUGCGAAGGCAGCUUACUAAACUGCAACUGACAUUGAUGCUCGAAAGUGUGGGUAUCAAACAGGAUUAGAUACCCCAGUAGUC